AUUGAACGCUGGCGGCAGGCCUAACACAUGCAAGUCGAACGGUAACAGGAAGAAGCUUGCUUCUUUGCUGACGAGUGGCGGACGGGUGAGGAAUGUCUGGGAAACUGCCUGAUGGAGGGGGAUAACUACUGGAAACGGUAGCUAAUACCGCAUAAUGUCGCAAGACCAAAGAGGGGGACCUUCGGGCCUCUUGCCAUCGGAUGUGCCCAGAUGGGAUUAGCUAGUAGGUGGGGUAACGGCUCACCUAGGCGACGAUCCCUAGCUGGUCUGAGAGGAUGACCAGCCACACUGGAACUGAGACACGGUCCAGACUCCUACGGGAGGCAGCAGUGGGGAAUAUUGCACAAUGGGCGCAAGCCUGAUGCAGCUAUGCCGCGUGUAUGAAGAAGGCCUUCGGGUUGUAAAGUACUUUCAGCGGGGAGGAAGGGAGUAAAGUUAAUACCUUUGCUCAUUGACGUUACCCGCAGAAGAAGCACCGGCUAACUCCGUG
RNAcentral lists this ribosomal RNA (490 nucleotides) under uncultured bacterium. RNAcentral describes it as "partial 16S ribosomal RNA". It matches the Rfam family "Bacterial small subunit ribosomal RNA", at positions 30 to 507 of the family's 1533-position model. The record is from RNAcentral.